RNAcentral lists this ribosomal RNA (2919 nucleotides) under Salmonella enterica subsp. enterica serovar Typhimurium. RNAcentral describes it as "partial 23S ribosomal RNA". It matches the Rfam family "Bacterial large subunit ribosomal RNA". The record is from RNAcentral. Lineage: Bacteria; Pseudomonadati; Pseudomonadota; Gammaproteobacteria; Enterobacterales; Enterobacteriaceae.
GGGUUGUGAGGUUAAGCGACUAAGCGUACACGGUGGAUGCCCUGGCAGUCAGAGGCGAUGAAGGACGUGCUAAUCUGCGAUAAGCGCCGGUAAGGUGAUAUGAACCGUUAUAACCGGCGAUUUCCGAAUGGGGAAACCCAGUGUGAUUCGUCACACUAUCAUUAACUGAAUCCAUAGGUUAAUGAGGCGAACCGGGGGAACUGAAACAUCUAAGUACCCCGAGGAAAAGAAAUCAACCGAGAUUCCCCCAGUAGCGGCGAGCGAACGGGGAGGAGCCCAGAGCCUGAAUCAGCAUGUGUGUUAGUGGAAGCGUCUGGAAAGGCGCGCGAUACAGGGUGACAGCCCCGUACACAAAAGCGCAUGUGCUGUGAGCUCGAUGAGUAGGGCGGGACACGUGGUAUCCUGUCUGAAUAUGGGGGGACCAUCCUCCAAGGCUAAAUACUCCUGACUGACCGAUAGUGAACCAGUACCGUGAGGGAAAGGCGAAAAGAACCCCGGCGAGGGGAGUGAAAAAGAACCUGAAACCGUGUACGUACAAGCAGUGGGAGCACAGGUUUACCUGUGUGACUGCGUACCUUUUGUAUAAUGGGUCAGCGACUUAUAUUCUGUAGCAAGGUUAACCGUAUAGGGGAGCCGUAGGGAAACCGAGUCUUAACCGGGCGUUAAGUUGCAGGGUAUAGACCCGAAACCCGGUGAUCUAGCCAUGGGCAGGUUGAAGGUUGGGUAACACUAACUGGAGGACCGAACCGACUAAUGUUGAAAAAUUAGCGGAUGACCUGUGGCUGGGGGUGAAAGGCCAAUCAAACCGGGAGAUAGCUGGUUCUCCCCGAAAGCUAUUUAGGUAGCGCCUCGUGAAUUCAUCUCCGGGGGUAGAGCACUGUUUCGGCUAGGGGGCCAUCCCGGCUUACCAACCCGAUGCAAACUGCGAAUACCGGAGAAUGUUAUCACGGGAGACACACGGCGGGUGCUAACGUCCGUCGUGAAGAGGGAAACAACCCAGACCGCCAGCUAAGGUCCCAAAGUCAUGGUUAAGUGGGAAACGAUGUGGGAAGGCCCAGACAGCCAGGAUGUUGGCUUAGAAGCAGCCAUCAUUUAAAGAAAGCGUAAUAGCUCACUGGUCGAGUCGGCCUGCGCGGAAGAUGUAACGGGGCUAAACCAUGCACCGAAGCUGCGGCAGCGAACGUAUCACCCAAGACAACUUUACGGAGUUGACGAUUGACGGAGCGAAGCGACGUCAAAGCGUUCAUUAAAGUCGAGUUGGCUUAGGGAUACGUUCGUUGGGUAGGGGAGCGUUCUGUAAGCCUGUGAAGGUGUGUCGUGAGGCAUGCUGGAGGUAUCAGAAGUGCGAAUGCUGACAUAAGUAACGAUAAAGCGGGUGAAAAGCCCGCUCGCCGGAAGACCAAGGGUUCCUGUCCAACGUUAAUCGGGGCAGGGUGAGUCGACCCCUAAGGCGAGGCCGAAAGGCGUAGUCGAUGGGAAACGGGUUAAUAUUCCCGUACUUGGUGUUACUGCGAAGGGGGGACGGAGAAGGCUAUGUUGGCCGGGCGACGGUUGUCCCGGUUUAAGCGUGUAGGUGUGUGUUCCAGGUAAAUCCGGUUCACUUUAACACUGAGGCGUGACGACGAGGCACUACGGUGCUGAAGCAACAAAUGCCCUGCUUCCAGGAAAAGCCUCUAAGCAUCAGGUAACACGAAAUCGUACCCCAAACCGACACAGGUGGUCAGGUAGAGAAUACCAAGGCGCUUGAGAGAACUCGGGUGAAGGAACUAGGCAAAAUGGUGCCGUAACUUCGGGAGAAGGCACGCUGACACGUAGGUGAAGUGAUUUACUCAUGGAGCUGAAGUCAGUCGAAGAUACCAGCUGGCUGCAACUGUUUAUUAAAAACACAGCACUGUGCAAACACGAAAGUGGACGUAUACGGUGUGACGCCUGCCCGGUGCCGGAAGGUUAAUUGAUGGGGUCAGCGCAAGCGAAGCUCCUGAUCGAAGCCCCGGUAAACGGCGGCCGUAACUAUAACGGUCCUAAGGUAGCGAAAUUCCUUGUCGGGUAAGUUCCGACCUGCACGAAUGGCGUAAUGAUGGCCAGGCUGUCUCCACCCGAGACUCAGUGAAAUUGAACUCGCUGUGAAGAUGCAGUGUACCCGCGGCAAGACGGAAAGACCCCGUGAACCUUUACUAUAGCUUGACACUGAACAUUGAGCCUUGAUGUGUAGGAUAGGUGGGAGGCUUUGAAGUGUGGACGCCAGUCUGCAUGGAGCCGACCUUGAAAUACCACCCUUUAAUGUUUGAUGUUCUAACGUGGACCCGUAAUCCGGGUUGCGGACAGUGUCUGGUGGGUAGUUUGACUGGGGCGGUCUCCUCCUAAAGAGUAACGGAGGAGCACGAAGGUUGGCUAAUCCUGGUCGGACAUCAGGAGGUUAGUGCAAUGGCAUAAGCCAGCUUGACUGCGAGCGUGACGGCGCGAGCAGGUGCGAAAGCAGGUCAUAGUGAUCCGGUGGUUCUGAAUGGAAGGGCCAUCGCUCAACGGAUAAAAGGUACUCCGGGGAUAACAGGCUGAUACCGCCCAAGAGUUCAUAUCGACGGCGGUGUUUGGCACCUCGAUGUCGGCUCAUCACAUCCUGGGGCUGAAGUAGGUCCCAAGGGUAUGGCUGUUCGCCAUUUAAAGUGGUACGCGAGCUGGGUUUAGAACGUCGUGAGACAGUUCGGUCCCUAUCUGCCGUGGGCGCUGGAGAACUGAGGGGGGCUGCUCCUAGUACGAGAGGACCGGAGUGGACGCAUCACUGGUGUUCGGGUUGUCAUGCCAAUGGCACUGCCCGGUAGCUAAAUGCGGAAGAGAUAAGUGCUGAAAGCAUCUAAGCACGAAACUUGCCCCGAGAUGAGUUCUCCCUGAGACUUAGAGUCUCCUGAAGGAACGUUGAAG